Biomphalaria glabrata is the source of this 574-nucleotide long non-coding RNA. RefSeq lists it as uncharacterized. The transcript is spliced from 2 exons. Lineage: Eukaryota; Metazoa; Mollusca; Gastropoda; Planorbidae. The record is from RefSeq and is a predicted model, not a curated record.
UGUGCUAUGUUGAUAGCCAUCUAUCUGCAAUGUCUAUGUAUCAGUGUGUGUACUAAUGUGUGCACUAUAGCACUAGCACGUUGGUAAAGCUGUGCAGUCAAGUUGUUGAAAAACAAGACUUGUGUGUUGAAAAACAAGAAUUGUGUGUUGAAAAACAAGACUUAUGUCUUGAAAAACAAGACUUAUGUGUUGGAAAACCUCACUUGUUUUCAUCUGACUGUCGGAGAUUUCAUUGAGUUAUUCCUAAAGUUGCGUGACUUGCUAAUCUCGUGCUUAACGCCUGUUUCUGAAUAAAUCUGUUGAUAAAUGAGAACAUGUGAAUUCCAACUUGGAUACUUUGUCGAUUCUGUGAAUUGUUCAUAGAUUUGUGUGUUAGCCAUUGAACUCAAGUAUUGAUCACUUGUGAUUCUCCAUGGUUGGUUAGAUACAUGGUGUUCACCCACACACCUAUUGUCCCGCAGCGUGUGAUUGAGGAUUCACUAUGUUGUCCAGUCAGAACAUUUUAGUGGUGUGUACAUUCUCAUGGAUUUCGUUAAUUUCGGAGAUGAUUCAGACGAGGACUAUGAUGUGUAAG